This is a long non-coding RNA of Choloepus didactylus (southern two-toed sloth), 3748 nucleotides long. RefSeq lists it as uncharacterized. The transcript has 2 exons. The record is from RefSeq and is a predicted model, not a curated record. NCBI's taxonomy places the organism in Eukaryota, Metazoa, Chordata, Mammalia, Pilosa, Megalonychidae.
CGAGCUUGGGGGCCCUUCUGGAGGGGCUGCAAGUUGGCCUGACGUGAACUGCUUGUGAGCUGUGGGAGCUGCAUGGCCUGCAUGUGCACAGGCACCCGGGCAAGGCUGAGGACGGGUCCAGAGGAGAGGGGCUGCCCGGAGCCACCCUUGGGAACUCGUCUGGAUUUUGCUUGUAUGUGGGUGUCUUCUAAAAGGAAGCCUCUGAAGAAGCUUGUGGGUUGAGGUCUUGGAUCUUGUGUGUUUUUCUCUAAAAGUCAAGUCUACCCGAGAGCAAAGUUGUAUUUCCUGGGAACCUGGGGUAGAUGCCACGGAUUCUGGGGGUAAGGACAGCUGCUGGUUUAAGCCAACUAUGGCGACAUGUCUCGGUAGGGUAGGGCUCGCAGGCUUUGCUGGGGGACAAGUUUCUAAGUUGCAACAAGCAGUUCUUAAAGGUUUCACAGAAUUCCCUUUGGUCUAGACCCAAGGGCUUUUCCGUUUGGAAACUGCCUCUGCCGAGUCCAGGUACGGAAUCAUUUCUCCGGAGUCAGAAGCACUGAGGUUAGAACCUGAUCUCUCUCUGGGCUGGUGCACCCGGAAGUCACCGGUCUGAAGUUUGCCGUGGCCGUGCUGAAGGUUCUCGUUUGUUUUGGGCUAAGGCUGACGUCCUGGUCGUGCUGUACCUGGCAGGGUUGGACUCGAGGAGGUGUGCAGGACCCCGCAGUCCUCCUGUCCCGGGCACUGCGGAAAGGCUGCUGGAGGGAGGGACACGUUUCCAGAGGGCAGUGCUGAGGGCGCACUUGGCUGAGGUCUUGACUAAGUUACCUGAUCUCGGGUGUUGAGAAGAGGGUUGGUGUCGUUGAGUCCUGUGGCUGCUUUAAGGUUAGGAACGAGGAACCAUCUUUGUCAACUAGAAAUUUAGGGAGUAAGGCUGAUAAGCUAUUUCAGAACCAUCUGACUUCAAAAAAGUCCUUUAUGUCCCUUAUGGUCCUUUAUGAUCUUGUGCUCCACGGACCAGUAUCACAUGGAAACAACUUAGAAUGACUCAUACCCCAGGCCCUCUAAUAGUUGAACAAAAUUGAGCUUGAGAAUACGGGUUGGACGGAAGUGAUGCCAAACUGGACUGAAGGGUCUCCGACCUUGGGCAUAUAAAUUGGGAAGAGUAGGAAGGGAACCAGGCAUCGGUCACACAGACACAUGGUUGUUGCGAUGCUGUCAUGAGUCGUGAUGUAGGGGUUAUCCUUCCUUUUAUGGGUGCAGGUGAGUGCCAAGGCUCAGAAGUGAAGGGACUUGCUGAAGCCCCUACCCCUACUCCCCCAGCAAGUGGAGAGCACAAAUUGGGUGCACUGAGAGAACAAGGUGCAGUAUGCCGAGUUUUUCUGAAAAAGUUGGGGCCACAUGAGAUUAAAACCCUGCUUGGGUGAAGCGAGGUUGCGGGGCCCAGUGCAGCCACCAUCUGCUUCCCUAAUUUGGUCUGAAAACCUGAAGCUUACAAGUUAGGCAGGAGGUUCUGGAGCUGGACAGGCCUGAAUCCUGACCAUGAAGCCCUCUAGCUGUGACCUUGGGUUAAUCCUGGGACCUAAUGCGGACAGCUUCCCGUGAUAAAAGGUAUGUUGAGGAUGGAGGCUGGGGCAGACCUGGAGUCGAGAUCAGUUGAGCCAUUUAAAACAAGCGUCAGACCGGUGCUGACCCGGCGGCUGGCACGUGGGGCAGGGUAAGGAACGGGCGUCCUAUCUGACCGAGAGGGGGACCCGACCCACCUGACGUCCCGAGACUGCUGCUGCUUUCUGUCCCAUGACUUCCGGAGCCUUGUGUCCUGUGCACUCCAGCCGAUGGGAAGGCUGCGGCCCCUUCCCGGGGGGUGGGUCCCGGUGCAUGUGCUCGGGGAGCCAAAGGAGGAUCCCAGGCCAGUCUUAAGUCCCACGAACAGCUUAUGCCUGCAGGCCGGGUGCCCCCCCCACAGCUCUCCAUCCCAGCACCUCCGCUCCAUCAGCAGACCGCAUGUGAGCUUCGGCGAUGGGCCCAAGGCCGGUCGGUUAUUUUGUGCCCACCGGCAGUGGGCUUGGCAAGGACCUGGGCAGGGCACAGCUUGGGCUCCAGAGCUGGCGGGCUCUCCGCCAAUUGCUGCCUGCAGUGUUCCCCAAACCUUACUUCCUGCCCUCCACCCCAGCCCUCCUCCCUGUGGGCCUUCAGGGGAUGCUUGGCUGGCAAGCUUCAGUGAAGUUGACAUGGCUUGUUUUCUGCACCAGAAUGAACCAUCCGGGGUUUUAUUGCAGGGUGGGCAUGGGGUUGGGUGGCACGUUUGUCUGCUCGGAGGCAGAGGUGGCAUGCCACAGGGCCCGGAGGGUGUGAGGAGAGCAAGGGUGUUUGGAGGGUCGGGGAGGGGGGAAGAGGAAGGAACUGAUGAAUCACUAGCACAGCCGUUGCAAAAUAGGUUAAUUUUUGAAAAGUGAAAAAUGACAAUAGCAAAACUGGUUACUUCUGACAAGAUCCCCACACAGAGGAGCAGAGCCCUCAGGGCUCAGAAAAGAAGGUGUGCGCUCCAGCUCCGGUCCGCGCCUUCUCGUGGGCUGCUGGCACGGCCGGGGUUUCCUCCUUUCCCUGGAGUCUCGGGAAACGAGCUCCCCCAACCCCGUGUCUCCCUGAGGCGCGUUCGCCGGUGCUCCCCGGGCCGGGCCGGGCUCAGGAGGCCGUGGAGGAGCAGCGCUGCAGCAGCAGCGUGUGGCAGCCAUCGCACACGCGCACCGGCCGGGGGUACGAGGGCAGGGCCAGCUCGUUGCCGGAGCACGUGCUGCAGAAGAUGUGGCCGCAGUUGCGGCAGUGGUGCUGGAGGGCGGAGAAGAGGCCCCGUGAGCUCACCUGCCCCGGCCGCCUCGGCCCCAGACCUCGUUACGUUUAUGCUGCUAUAAAGUUAGUGCUGGGGGAGAGGUGGGCUUCCCCAAGCUCUUCAAGCUAGGACUUGACCGAGGGCUGGUAACCUGUGGUACAAAGGGCCCCGAUGAUUCCCUUUAAUCGCCGCCUUCCCUGGUGGCCUCCCACUGUCUAAGACGGGCUGCUGGGAACCUCCGUGUAGGUCCUGGGCUCCCUGGGUGCUUGGGCAGCGCCCCCUCGGCACACCCCAUCGGGCAGGGCCAAGGCUCUGAGGAGUGGCCUCCGGAAGGGCUUGUGGGCAAGGCACUGCCUGGAAUUUGGGGGAAGUUUUGCUCAUUUUCCAGAGACUGUUACUGUGAGCAGAUGAGAAUGUGGGAGGGGAUGGGAGGGUUGACACUGCAGCAGGUUAUCUCCCUGGUCUUCAAAUGACAGCCCCCAAUUGUGCCCACUACCCAAGCUCAGUCAAUUCUGCACCCAAGGGUGGGCCGUCCCCGGAACCCGAAGGCGGGCGACGGGCCGACAGUGGCCCGCCACUCUGGGAUCAGCCCCUCGGCAGCCGUGUGGCGUCGGGUCGCUAGGCCACAUCCUGCUGCUCAGAGAACCUGCGCCACGUGUGGCCCUGAGAGGAAAAACACCCGAGCAUCCCGUUUCAGGGCUUGGUCCUUGCUGGACAGUCGGCUGUCUGCCCCUUCCUGCUGCCAUCUCGGUUUCCUUCUGAGGAACUGCCCCUUCCUACUAGGCGUGGCCUCCCGGGACUAACAAAGGGGACACAACGGUUGGAGUUGACGUGUCCUGGCCCGAGCGCCUGCCCUCUGCUCCAGCCUCUCGCAGGACUCCAGCCCCUGCUAACCCGAGACCCCUGAGACCCUCUUAUUCAAUAAAGGCCGUUUGGCUGAGGUCA